This 41308-nucleotide long non-coding RNA is filed under the name Brassica rapa (field mustard). RNAcentral describes it as "long non-coding RNA (BRAP_LNC003747)". Lineage: Eukaryota; Viridiplantae; Streptophyta; Magnoliopsida; Brassicales; Brassicaceae. The record is from RNAcentral.
CAGCAGCUUCUCCCUCCGGUGAAGCCACCUCCAUGGACUCUCGUCUUAGUCCAGAAACAGGCCGUGUAACCAAACCGGCACGUAGAAGAUCAAGAGCCUCACGUAGAACACCAACAACACUUCUCAACACGGACACAUCAAACUUCCGCGCCAUGGUUCAGCAGUUCACGGGCGGUCCAUCCGCUAUGUCUUUCGGGUCAGGUAAUACCACUUCCGGUUUUAGCCUCACCUCUUCGUCGGAUCCAUCCGCCGGAUCUUCCCAACAAGUUCCUUGGCAAUAUAGUUACCAGCCUCACGCGCCGCCUCCACCGCAACAGCCUUAUAUGUUCUCGUUAAACAACAUGAAUCCCGUCGUUGGGUAUAGUAACAUGAACAACCCUAAUACGAUGGUUCCUGGUGGUUUUGGAACCGCGGGCGGUGGAGGAGGAGGUUCUGCUCCGUCGUAUAAGGAAGCCACGAAUAGUAAUACGUCGUCUUCGAGACUGCAAUGAGAAAACGAUUGGAUUCUUUUGAAAUAUUUUUUUCUCCUUUUUCGCAUAAAGGCAGAAAUGUUAGGUACUGACUUUCUUUUGUCAUAGAAUGACAACUUUGACUGUUGUAUAUUUAAGUUUUUCGUUUUCAUAUUCAAGCUUUUUAUCUUUGUUUUAGGCGUUGAGCAUUUGUUUACAGCGUUAUCACUUAUCAUGGUCCUAAAUAAGCAAAUAUUCAAUGACUGAAGUUGCACACUUGCUUGCAUUCAAAAGAAAAACUCCAGUUUGGCAGUAAGCAAAAUAAAAUAACGUCUCCAAAUAAAUCUAUAUGUUUUUACGAGAAUACAUUAUCUGUUAUACUCCCUCUGUUUCAAAAUACAUGAAGUUUUAAGAUUAUACACAACUAUUAAAAAACUUGUUUUUUAUUUUAAAAAUAUCAUUAAAAUAUAAAUUAAAAAUUAUUUAACCAAUCACAAAACAGACUACAAAAUAUCAUUAGCUACACAGUUUUUGAUAAAGUGAAAAAAUACAUUGAUAUAUGAAAACAUCAUCUAUUUUGAAACAUCAAAAACUACCUAAAACAUCAUCUAUUUUGAAACGGAUGGAGAAUAAAUUAUUAUGGCAUCCAUAUUUUCUACUAGACUUAGGUAAACUAAAGCAAUGUUCUCGAACACUAAUAUAUCACGUAUAUAUAUUAUAUAUAUUAACGCUCUAUAUAUGUUAAAAACAUACUUUCACGUAAAGUUCUGAACUACAUGUGAAAAAUUGAAAUUUCUUCAAUAUUAUUCAAAUUAAUAGUAGUAUAUAUGUAUAACGUGCAUGUAAUGGAGGAAAUGUGAGAGAAAUAGCUUACAUCCAAUUUCUGUAUUCAUUUAUUGUAGGCAUUCAAACAUGAAAAUUAGUUAGUGUGAAUGUAGUUUUAUCUGCUUUGCCAAAUUAGCUCGAUAAAAUGCAAAAUAUGAAUAUAACUUUAUAUAACUUAUUUUAUAAAAUGUGCAUGGAAUGGAGGAUGCCUACAAUAAAUGAAUACAGAAAUUGGAUGGAGAAUGCCUACAAUAUAUGAUCCACUUAAGCUACAUUCAUUUACUUACACCCCAACGAUUGUAUUCUUAUUCGAUAAAACUGUAACUGUAAGUGAAUGUUCUUUUACCAAAUUGUAGCGAUAAUAUAGAAUAUGAAUAUAAGUUAAAACUUUAUAGUUUGCUUCUUUUUAUGGCACAAUAUAUUUUCUAUUGUCAUAUAACUUGUAGACGGAAAACGAUGACUAUCCUUUUCCAGUUCACAAUUUGAUUACUUUUUUCUUUGUCUUCAAUCACUAACUUUAUAAGAUUGUUGAAAUAUAUUUGAAGGAGAAUUUUCGCCAAGACCAGAAUAAUCUUUUAACAUUAAAAUAUGGUGAUGAUUAAUUGGAUCAUAUAGAAAUUAAACUUGCUUUUCGUUGGAAACAGAGGAAGCUUUUGGGUGAAGGUAGGCUACCAACAUUAACACACCUAGAUUCUUACGUUAUCGUUUAUUUUUCCUCUUUUAAUUUCUUCCCGCUCAUAUUAAUUAUGAUUUAGACUGAAAGUGAGAUGGAUCUUUUGAUUUAGAUCGAUGUUUUUGUUAAUAUAGAGUUUGGCCAAUAUACCAAAGCCAAACUCUAUACUUAUAGAAUGUCUUUAGUUUUUUUUCUUAGUCUUUUGCAUUUUUAAUAGAUUUUAGAUUCUUAAGAUAAAUCCAUAAAUUAAUAAGAGAAUAUUUCUAUCAUGUUGUAGACGUGUUUAUAUUUGACAAAUAAAAUAAUAUAAAAGGAAUUAACAAUGAAGAAUCUUAUUAAAAAAAAAGUAACAUCGACGAAGUGACAAAAAAAUUGAGUGAUAAAGGGGUUGUGAAGAGGGGAUGUAUCUAAUACGCAUUGUGGGUCCCUUAACCUCAAGUGAAAUUUCCUUUUCUUAACUGAAUUUGAAUUCAUUCAUCAAUUAUUAUACUAUACAACUAGGCAAUAAUCCGCACCUUGCGCGAAAUAUGAUUAUUAGUUUCGUUAUUUUUUAAUAAAGAGACAUUAAUCUAUUUAAUUUGAAUAUCGGUUCGGUUUUAGGUUGAUUUUUGGUUUUUAAUCUCCUAAAAUAUAACUAUCAUUUUAAAUCAAUAUUUAUUUUGUUUGUUCGGUUAAAAUGUUUGAUGUUUUUGGUUUUUUUUUCAUGUGAUAAUUAAAAAUUACUAUUAUUUGUUUGUUUUCAUGUUAUGAAACUUAGAUAGUCGUGAUGUCGAAUCAAUGGUUUCAUAUUAUAGUUUCUAAAUAGAUAAUAGUUCAAAAAGAAAAGAAAAUUGUUAAGACAAAUCAUUUUACUACAAUUUGGUCGAUAGGGAAAGAAGCCUUAAGAAAAAGAAUAUUUUAACUUCAAAAAAAAUUUAGAUAUUUCAGUUGUGGUAAAUAUUUAGUUAUAAAGUGCUCACGUCAAUGUGUCCAUGUAUGUGUAUGUAAAGGUAUAUAAAGAUGGUUGUUAAAUAUAUAAAGAUAAUGUUAAUUAAUAUUAAAUGAUAUUUUUUCAAAAUAAUACAUGAAAAAUAAAAUUCUUAAAAUGAAUUUAUUUAAAAAUAAAAAUACUGUAAAAUUUAUAUAAACUAUAAUAUAUAACUUAUAUAUAAUUCUUUAAAUAUAUGUAUAUAUAUAUAUAUGCAUAUAACAGAUCAAAUUAGAUAUUCGUUCCUAUAAAUACUGAUAUUUGUGGUUUGCUCUUUUUUUUACUGAUAUUGCAUUUUAGUAUUUAAUUUGCUUCGUACAGUAACGAAUAUCCAGAUUUUUCGGUUCAAAUCAAAAUUUUAUGAAUAAUUGUCUAGCUGUAUUCGUAAACAGUAAAAAUAACGUAAAGAAGAACCAUGCAUGUGAGUUUUAUAUUAAAAAAAUGUAAAGUACAUAGUGUGAACAUAUUUAUGUAGUGUUUGGCUGAGAAACUCUGUACAUGUAAUAUGUGUCCAUUUUAGUGUGAACACAUUUAUUACAAUGCUUCUACACGUGACAUGUGUCCAGUUUAGUGUAAAUGCAUUUAUUACAAUGCUUCUCUUUUAAUAUAUAACGGAUUAUACAAAACAUCUUAUUACGAUCCUCAAUCUUAUACUUUGGUAGAUUUUGAUGUUAUUUAUGAUUAAAUUAGCCAUCUUCUUUCAUACAUACUUAAAUAAAUGCGAUAAUCAAUUCUUUUGAACAAGUAGAUAUAAAGGGUGAUUUUAAAACACAAGAGGAAGCAUUUUUUUUUUGUCAUCAAACAAACAAACUCAUAUUAACUAUGUGAACCAAACUGGUAGCUCUGCAUCCAUGUGAACGACGAAAGACGAUUGUUUUCUUGCACUCUGUACUAGAUUAUCCGUCUUUUGAUUCUCCGUUCGGGGUACAUGAAUGAUCUCUGAGCUGAAGAAACAUGUCUUCAGCAUCUUUAUAUCUUCUAGAUAAUUUUCAAACGCCAGCUAUUCUUUUGGUUCCGAAACCAUCUUCACCAAUUGAGAACAAUCCAUAGCAAAUGUGACAUAAUAUUGAUGUAAAUUUCUCAUACACUCCAUCACCCAUAUUAACGCUUCCAUCUCCGAAUGGAGAGGUGAAAGACUUGCCCGAAUAUUCCUUGCACCCAACAAACCAUCAAAUCCCUCAAGAAUAUUAUACCAACCCUCGUCUGAAUAAUACUCUUUAUCUUUCCAAAAACCAUCUAUAAAGCACCAAGGACCUGUCCUCCUCGGACAGUGCCUAACCUCAACUUGUUGUGAUGGCUGCUGAAUAUUCUUCACCUGAGCCUCAGCCCAAAGUUUGGAUUCGGUCUCCGCAAGAUUAAGUGUAUCUCGUGGGUCCAUAUCCAAAUUACUAAAAACUUUGUUAUUCCUACCUUUUCAAAUGUACCAUAAUAUCCAUACAAAAUGAUGAUCUUCCCUCUCCGGGAUAACCCUCCAGAAAAAAUGAUCCAAAUUUAUGAAGAUAGAACUAGUAGGGAAAAGAUCUAGGUUUGACAGUAUCUUUGACAACGCCCAAACUUGACGCAUAGGAGGACAUUAAAAAAAUACAUUAUUUAUUGAUUCCUCAUCAGCUCCACAUCGAGCACAACAUAUAUCUCCUUGAAUUCUUCUCGCUUGCAAAUUCUUUUUUCACAGCCAUACAUCCUGAUACCAUCUAUCAUAGAAAAUGAUUUAUUUUCGGAGGGUAUCUCAAUCUCACCUUCCAACAAAACGCUUUUAAAAUAUCCACUGUAGGACCAUAGACCUACGGUGGUUUUGCCUUAUCCGGAUAGACCCGUUCUAGCUGGUAUCUUGAUUUAACCGAGUAUUUCCUAUUAGUUGUGAAAUGUCAUCCAUCACUAUCCAUCAUCUGGUUUCUACUCAGGAGUAUAAUUUUAAUAAUUUUAGCAUUUUAGGAGUCCACCAGAGCCCAAAUUUUUUGCGUAUUCCAAGUUAGUAAAACUGGAUCAAUGAAAAAGUCUACAAUAGGUAGCAUUGAAUUGGAAUAAACUAUCUACUAUUCUUUCACCUAACAGUUUUUUGUAGUAAUAUAGUUUAGAAAUGUAUUUAAUUGUAUAUAAAUAUAAAUAUAAUUAUAAAUAUAUAUAUAUAUAUCUUAUGAGUUUAUUGAGUGGUAGAUUAGUGGUUGAGUUGUAGUUUUUCUAGAUGGUCAUGUAAAUUUCAAACUCCAUCCAUAUGGUAAUGUAAUGAUAUUACAAAGUAAAAACCAAAAUAAAAACUCUCACUCAGAAGUUCCAGAGCAGUUUGAUUUUUGAAGUCGCACAUUGUCGGAGGAAGCUUGAAUAGUGAUAGAUAAGACAACUCAACUAGAAACUUCGCGAGAUCCAUUUGAAUCACCUCAUUCGUACAUAAAUAAACACUCAUUUUAUUCAAAAAUUCAGAUAUAAGGUUUAAGUUUAACCAGUGUUUAAUUGUUUAUAAUCACCUUCUGGUAACUAUCUUAUUAAAAGGAAAAUUUCAUAAUUACCCAACUAAAUUUCGUUAAAUUUUUUUAUAUCCAAACUUUUAUACUACAUAGUUUAAUACUUCAACUAAUUAUUUUGCUCAGUUUAAUACGCUUGCUUUUAAAACUAUGUUCAUUUUAAUACACAAACUAUGCUAAUUUUAAUAAUAAGUUUUAAACAAAACUUUAAAAAUCUUUAAAUUUCAAAAACAAAAUUUAUUACCUAUUUUCUUUUUUAAAUAACAUAUGUUUGGAUAAUCUUAAUUUUUAUAAUAUUAGUUUUAGUGCUAAUUUCAAUUUUUUUUAUUUUCUGAAGUUUAAAAUAAUUUAUUUAUUUUAUUCAUGAUUAUGGUUUUCUAAAUUUUAAAAUACUAUCUCGUUAGUUUUAUUCCUAAAAAAUUAAAAUAAAGAUUUUUAAAAUUUUAUUUAAAACUUAUUAAUAUCUUUGAUUAAAAUUAAUAUAGUUUGGGUAUUAAAAUAACACAUUUUUAAAAGUAAAUGUAUUAAAAUGUGCAAAAUAAUUACUUGAAGUAUUAAACGGGUAUCAAACUGUGUUGGGUAUUUAACUAAGAUGAGUAAACUUUACAACAUUUUUUAUUUUAUUUUUGUCAUGAAAGUAUCAUUCAUUGAUUAGGUUGUACCAUUGUCAAUAUUUUCUUGUCAACGUACCAAUGUCAAUUUGUAAAGUUGAUCACAAACAGACUAGAAACCAUCUACAAGAAAUAAGGAUUCAACUUUUGUGAAGUAUUAUUGUCAAUUUGUGAAGUUGAUCACAAACAAAUUAUGAAUCAUCUGCAAUAAGAAAUAAGGAUUCAACUUCGGAAAUUGUGUCAAUUUAUGAAGUUGAAUCUUUAUUUCUUCUUUCAGAUGGUUCAUAGUCCAUUUGGGAUUAAUAAGUCAGUUUGUGCUUUGUAUAAACAACUCAAAUCUAGAGUAUUUCGUUCAGUUUUUGUAUCUACAACAGCGGGUGAUGACGAUGACAAUGGCGAUGGCGAUGAAAAUCCAGAUGGGGAUGGGAUUCUUCCUAUUGAUGGGAGGAAGAAUAGAGGAAGACAAUUUACUGAUGAUGUCAAGACAAACAGUUGAUCAAAGCCAAAGUUGUUAGCUGUGAGGUCUGGAGACAAAUGGAAGGUUGAUUGAUAUUGUAACCCGUAUGUUAUCAUCUCUCGGGGGAUCAGUUGCUCAUGUUUAUCAGUAUGAUCAUAUCGUUCCCUGGUGAUAGUUGAUUACAACUUUUAAAGACACACUAAAUUUAUGAUGAAACAAACAAAAUUAACUAAUUAAAUCAUUUAUAAAUGUUUAAAAAAAUAUUUAUAGAAGCUUAUAAACUAACUCCACCUCUUAAAUACUAAAACCUAAACAAUAAUCAUAAAUCUUGAAUCCAAAUAUUAGAGUAUUUUUGAUUGAUCAUAUUUUUUUUCUUUUUUUGAGCAAAGAUUGAGCAUAUAUAUUUUUAAAAUAGUAGCCAACUUAGAAUAUUUCAAGAAAUUUCGCUUAAAAGUAUCAUAUUGGUGUAAAUAUAAAGACUAUCUAAUUAUAUAUGUAAUUAUACUGCUGAUUUUAUUUUAUAUAUUUAAAUUAGGAACUAAAUGGAGUGAAAUGGAGGGUUGGUAUGUUAUCAUCUCUCACGAGGAUCAGAUGCUCAUGUUUAUUAGUAUGAUCAUUUCAUUCUCUGGUCAAAAUCACAUGACUCAAGCCUGGAGAAUUGUCAGGUACUCCAAUCAAUGGUGAAUACUUGGAAUGACGCUUUAUUACAGCUAUAAAUUUGGUUUGUUAAGCUUUUAAACUCAUAUUCUCUGUUUUGGAAGAUAAAUUGUCUAUUUGAAUUUUAGGGUCUGCUGUAGCGAUGAUUCACAAACUCUCAACAAUGGGAUCAUCACAAGAUAAUCAAGAACAGAUAAAGUCGUCUAAAGUAGAUAAUCUUCUUCUUGCAUAGCUUACAUAAUUCAUCAAAGUUAGCUUUUUUUUUGUUUGUUUGUCAAACGAAUUGUCUUGUAACCUCUUGUUAUUUGUGUCUUUGUCUAGUAGAUAUGUUUCUUACUUUGUGAUUACAAAUUAAACUCGAGAGUUUAGAUUUUUUGGUCUCUCGUUUGCCUUUAUUUUGAAGAAGUGUGAAACUUAUGAUGGUCCACAAAACUAGUCAAAUAACACAAGCUACUGAUUGGGGUUUCAUGUGGGACAAACCCAAGUUGAAACCCUCCAAAACUUUUGUACUAUUUUAACAUCUCUGUUUUUUUUUUUUACUUAUUUUUUGGUUAAAAUUGAGACUUUAGGCAUAUAAUAAGAAAACUUUCAGUAGAGUAUCUCAACUUAAAAUAAAUAAAAAUAUAUUAUUGUUCGAUUAUGAAUAUUUCAAAACGAGAAAAACUCAAUCGAAAAUAUCACAAAACGGUGAAAAGUUCAGUCCAAAAUAUCUCAAAUAAUAUAUUUUGACUAAUUUCUCAUCACUCUAAGAUAUCUAAUGAUAUUAGAUCAUUAUUUUAUUUACUUUUUAGAACUACUAAUUUAUUAUAAAAUUUUUGCUCUAGAUCCAUUUCCAUUUUAGUUUUUAUCAUGAUAACUCAAACAUUAAAAUAACUAAAAUAAGAACUUGCUAGAUACUCACAAGAUACUAUGAAAAAUAAUUUGCAUAACAUUAUUGGUCAAAUUUUUUUAAAAAAAUAUUGAAAUUCAAUAGUUUUAUAUAAGUAAACUUAAAAUAACUGAAAUAAAAACUUGCUACAUAAUCACAAAAUACUACGAAAAUAUUUGGCAUUAUAUUAUUAGUCAUUUUCUUAGAAGUAUCUUGAAAUUUAAUAGUCUUAUAGUAAAAACUAUAUAAAGUAAUGAUAUUGGAAUUACGAAAUUUUAUUAUUUUUAGAGUUAUUAAUUUACAAAAAAUAUUUUUAUAUUUUAAAAUAUAUUUUUAAUAAAAUAAGAUAAAUUGUUUAUUUUGUCGUGUAUAUGUUAAUUAAAUUAUUAAAAUUAGACUUUUAUUAUUUUUGUUAUACUAUUUGGUGUAUACAAAAUAUGUUUCAUAGAAUUUAAAUGUAGUUUUUAGAUAUAAUUUGACCUAAUAUUUUCAAAAUAUAUUGAUGUGUUAAGAAAAAUAAAGUUCAAUUUCAUUGUGAAUGUAAAAUAAAUAAUACAAUGAUUUUUUUGUACAUAUAUAAACAUUGUAUGUAUGAAUUAUUAAUUUAUGAUUUUAAUGGAUUAUAUAGAUACAUUGAAUUUUCUAAAAAAAUAUAUUAUCUUAUUUUUUCGAUUUGUGUCAUAUUUUGAACCGGGCAAAUUCGAGACCGAAGAAAUUUAUUAAUUUACUAUGUUUGUAACUGAUCGAGUAUUAAUUUAUAGUAUUUGUACCGUAUAACUGAACUUAAAUAAAAUUAAAAAACACCGAAAGAAUAUCUUAAAGUGAAAACAAUCAUAAAACUAUAAUGUUUACAAGAGAUGAUGCGUAGUGAAGAUGAGAGAAAGGAAACUACAAUGGUUUUGUUUUAUUUAUUUAUAUACAUCAUUACAAGAGAUGAUCAGCUUGCAGUGGUACUUGUAUACAAAGAACAAAGUGUACAAGGCGAGGUAAAUAAUGGAUCUACAAUCUCACUUAAAUCGUCUUCCAAUGGCUUAGAACCUCCAUCUCCUGUCUGGCUGAAUAAUGUUUCUCUUCCAAUGAUGAACAACGAGUGUUUAUGACCAUAGAGAAUUGCUGCAAUGUUACCAACAAAUGAGAGUUUUGGGCGCUUACCCACCUUGAAUCAUCUCACUUCUUAACACAUCUUCUCUCCUUAUUCUGUGAGAGCUAAAAGAGUUACUAGCAUUCUACAUCACUCCUCUAAUUCCAAACUUGGGGUAACCAUAGGGAAUGUUGUCAGAUACGAAUCACCUCUCAUAUCUUUAGCCAAACCCUCAAUGACAUCAUAUAUCUCAUCACUCUGAGGAUGCUCUUGAUCUCUAGACACAAAACAAUUUACAUUACCUGCAACUUCAAUCCCACUACGACCAACUUCUUUCCUUAAACCCUUUUCUCUCAUUCCUCUCCUCAACCUAUCAACACUCGUCCAUUUCUGUUCCUCAGCAUACAUAUUCGAGAGCAAAACCUGAUAUCCUGAAAAGUUCUUCCCUUUAUCCACUUUAGCUAACUUCUCUGAAACAGUUUCAGCAAGCUCAAUCUCACCGUGUACUCUACAAGCUCCCAGGACCGAACCCCAUAGCUCAGCAAUGUUUCCUUCUUCACCAAGCCCUUUAACAAACUCGUAGGCUUCAUCAACGCGGCCUACUCUCCCUAACAUGUCUGUAACGCAGCAAUAGUGCUCAUUGGAAGGCUGGAUGUUAUAAACUUCACUCAUUUCCUCGAAUAUUUUGAGACCUUCAUCCACUAAACCGGAAUAGCUGCAAGCUGAUAAUACUGCAACAAAGGUGACAGCAUCUGGUUUGACUCCAGACUCUUCCAUUGAACGAAACAGCGAGAUAGCUCUCUCACCCAUUCCGUGUUGACCAUACCCCAAUAUCAUCGUGGUGUACGUCACAGAGUUUCUCUCUUUCGUUUGGUAAAACAUGUUUUCUGCGUACUGUAUCGCUCCUGACUUUGAGUACAUAUCAACUAACGCAGAAGCAACAAAUACGUUCUGAUCCAAGUACUGCCUUAUAGAGAAACCAUGUAGCUGUUUACCUAAGUCGAAACUACCUAUCUGGCUACACGCAGGGAGAAUCGACGCCACAGUUAUGGCAUUGGGUUUGAUAUUCUGUUCUAACAUCUUCCUGAACACAGCAAACGUUUCCUCUGUGUGUCCGUUCUGCGUGUACCCGGACAUCAUAGAGUUCCAAGUAGCUUGAUCUCUUUCAGCAUAGCCACUUCUCUCGAAAAGCUUCUCUGAGAUCCUUAUUAGACCUGACUUAGCAUACAUGUCAAUAAGGUAACUGUUCAUCCCCUCGAACUGAAUCCCUUGCCUUAAAAGGAAACCAUGAGUCUGCUUCCCAAUCUCCUUGUUUCUAAGAUUCGACGCAGCCGAAAGCAAAGCAGUCACUGUUAUGUAAUCGAUCUUAAACCCCUGCUUCUGCAUCUCAUACACCAACAUCAAUCCUUCAUCAUCUAAGCCGUUUUGGACAAACGCAGAGAUCAUUGUGUUCCACGUCACAACAUCUCUCUCUCGCAUCGAAACAAAGACCGCAAAGGACUCGUGCACAGAGCCGCACCUCGAGUACAUCACCAUCAACGAGUUGAAUAUCACAACGGGAAGCUCCUGAAAGUUCUUGCUGACAAAACCAUGAAACUGUCUACCUAACUCCACUUGCUGCAGCGCUGAAACUGCACUCGCUGCCAAGAGGAACGUUACUUCGUCAGACACAAUCUCUUUCGAUCCUAUUGCAUCAAGAAAAAGAUCGAUACUCUCAACCAGGUACUCGUUCUGAACAUAGACUCCUAUCAUUGUAUUCCACACCUCAAUAUUCCUCUCUACACAAGAAUCAAACACUCUCCGUGACGCUUCAAUAUCGCCAAGCUCCGCAUACAUAGAAAUAGCCGAGCUCACAACAAACAAGUCCUUCACAUACUCAUCUCCCAACUUAAGCAUCAAACCAUAAAAUACUUUAGCUCUCUUAACACUUCUCGAACUCGCCACCGCGGGGAAGACAUUCACAAAGCUAACCGGACUCGGUUUAAUCUCCAUCCUCAUCAUAAUCCCAAACUGCCUACACGCCUCAGCGUGUCUCUCCGUCUUCACAUACCAAGAAACCAACGUAUUCCACGCCACAACGUUCUUCCUACGCAUACUAUCAAAAACCUUACGCACCACGUCGUACUCGCUUCCAGGAGGAGGGUGGUUCAAGCAAGAAACGUACAUAUUCAACAGAGAGUUAUGAACAACCCUGCUCGAGUUCUGCAAGCACCGGAUCAAAUGGCAAUGCACGGCUUUACCAGCCUUCAGGUUCCUGGUCUCGGCGCAGGCCUUGAGCGUGGAGGAGUAAGUGUAAGGGUCGCAUUUGGUGAAAGGAGCGGUCUUUUUCAUCCGGGAGUAGAAAAGGAGAGCCUCGUGCGGGAGGUUGUUGCAGAUGAGGCCGAUGAUAAUGGUGUUCCAUAGGACGGUUGUUGGUUUGGGAAUUGCGUCGAACAGCUGGCGUGCGAGCUGUGGGUUUCCUUUUUGGCAGAUUCUGCUGAGGCGUGAGCGGAUUGAAGGUGUUUGGGGAGUUGGGUUUGUUGGUGGGGCGAAGGUGGAAGAGCGGCGGGUUUGGUUUGGCGGGGGAGAGUGGAACGAAAGUGGCGGUGGUGGUGGGAGAGGUAGAGCUGAUCCGGCCAUUGUGGAAGAGAUGAUGAAGAACGAAAUGAAGAUACGUUAUUGACUCUCUCUUCCGCUUAUGUUAUCAUCAUCUUUCUUCAGUGAUAAGAGUUUGUUUAUUAUCUAUUUUUUAUAAGAUAGAUUACCAUUUUUCAAAGUACACUAAAUUUGUGAUAAAAAAAAAUAAAAAAUAGACCAACUAAACUAUUUAUUAAUGUUUAAAAAAAUAUUGGGUAAAUAAUCCAUAUUUUCCCACCAAAAAUAUUGGGUAAGAAACUAUCAAUCUCGUCUUAAUUAUAUGUAUCUAUAUUAUUAAAAGAGAAGUACCCAUUUGAAAAUGUUUUUACUUCAUUAAUUAAACUUCCCUUUUUUUUGCUUGUCUUUUUCAGUUGCAUUUAUGAAAUAUCCUAAAACAAAUAAAACUGCCUAAUUGAUUACUUGUCUUUUCAGUUACAUUAAUGAAAUAUGCUUAAAUGAAUUUAAACUUCCUAUUUUAUUGUUUGUCUUUUUCAGUUACCUUAACGAAAUAUCCUUAAAUAAAUUUGGACAUAAUGUCAUUUAAUCAACCAAAAAAACUCAUGAGUUAUCCUUACGUGCAUAAUUUUAAUAAUGGAGAUUUUUAAAAAGAGAAAAUGACACAAAGAACACUAAAUGAAGUUUUCCUCCCCAAACUAGCACUCAGGAUCAGAAUUCACAAAAAUAGGUUUCAUUAAAUGGGCAAUUUACCCUUAUGCCCCCUUCUUUAACUAAUUUAAAAAACAAAUUUGAAAUCAAUUUGUCGCCGUCCUCGUUUCAUCGCUUCUUCUUCUCGUCUCUCCGUCGUCGUCGUCGUCGUCUCUCCGUCGUCGUCUCCCCGUCCUUGUCGUCGUCGUCGUCGUCGUCUCUCCGUCGUCGUCUUCGCCUCUCCGUUGAUCCGUCGUCGUCGUCUCUCCGUUUAUUUAUCGUCGUCGUCGUUUCUCAAUUGAUCUGUCGUUUCUACGUCUAUUCAUCUCAUUCUCUCUCUCGUGUGUCUGAUUUGAUUAAGGUUUGAAUCAUUUCAUUUUGUUAUACAUUAUCUAGGUUUUGUUAUAUAUUAUUCAUUUGUUGAUGAUUUGAAGUUGAUUUUGUAGAACAAUGGAAGUUUUGUGCAUCUGUGGACAAUGGAUCUCAAAAGAAUCUCUCCAGUGGGAGUUUCUUGUUGAUUUGAAGAGGAAUGCAUCAAUCAUUUCCAUAGAAGAAGAUCUACUGUAUGAAGAUUUGAUGAAGAUUGUCUCUGAAGAUUUUAGUGUUAAAGAGGAAGAAAUCAGUUUGAGUUAUGGUUUUUCAUUGGAUAUGAAAUGUAUUAUUGAAAGUUUCCCCCCACUCUCGAUAGGUAAUACUCGUCAGCUCAGAACUUUCAUUUCCAAGACUAGAGCAUUUGAUGGAACCUGUCGUUUGUGUGUUAAGGUUUGUAUGAUUUUUUCUUAGACUUUUCAGGAUAUGCUUCAUAACCAAGUAUUAUGCCUUACAGAACUACUUGACUUAUGCAGGUUAGUACUGAUCCAGUUAGCUGUAACACUCAAGCUUCUGAUACAUUUGCUUCUACUGUUCCAUUGAAUGCCAAUCCAGCGAUUCUUUCUACUGUGCAGAGUGAAAAACAGGUACAUUGUCCUUAAUUCCCUUUUUCUGUUUGUGUUUGCAUGAUAUGCUUCAUAAUCAAGUACUAUGCCUUACAGAACUACUUGACUUUUGCAGAGUCUUCUAUAUGAAGGUGUUUCUACAGUUCCUCUGAAUGCUCUUCCGGAUUUUAGUACUGAUUCAGCUAGCUGUAACAUUCAAGCUUCUGAUACAUUUGCUUCUACUGUUCCAUUGAAUGCCAAUCCAGUGAUUCUUCCUACUGUGCAGAGUGAAAAACAGGUACAUUGUCCCUAAUUCCCUUUUUCUGUUUGUGUUUGCAUGAUAUGCUUCAUAAUCAAGUAUUAUGCCUUACAGAACUACUUGACUUUUGCAGAGUUUUCUAUAUGAAGGUGUUUCUACAGUUCCUCUGAAUGCUCUUCCGGAUUUUAGCCCUGUCCAUAUUGGACUUUCACCAAACACGAGAGUAGCUGGCGAUAUUAAGGUGAAUAGCUAUUUUAAGACAAAGAGAGAGUUGAUGUUGAGGAUGAAGAAAUGGGCUUUAGAGUGGAAGUUUGAGUACAAGACUGUCUCUUCUAACAAGUCAAGAGUGCUUUUGAGUUGUGUUGAUGAAAAUUGCACGUGGAGGAUGCGUGCUAUCAAGCUACCUGUUUCAGAUUUUUUCGUUGUUAAAAAGUAUGUUCAUGAGCAUACAUGCGAUACAACACACAGGAAAGCCAACCACAGACAAGCAUCUGCAAAGUUGUUGGGUUCUUUGAUUUCCAGCAAUUAUGGAGAAAAAAAGGAAGGUCUCAAACCGAAACAGAUCAUUGAACAGGUCAGGAUGCUGCAUGGUGUUCACAUCAAUUACAAACAAGCUUGGAGAGUGAGAGAAGAAGCUCAGAUUUUGGUUAGAGGGACUCCUGAAGACAGCUAUUACAAUUUGUCUAGGUGGUUGUAUAAAAUCACAGAAACAAACCCUGGUUCCUUGACUUAUCAACAUGUUGAUGCUGCAGGAAAGUUCAAGUAUGCAUUUGUGGCUUUUGGUCCAUCGAUAAGGGGAUUUUCAUUGAUGAGGAGAGUUAUUGCAGUAGAUGGUACAUUUCUGAAGGGAAAAUUCAAUGGGACUUUAUUGGCAGCUUGUGCUCAAGAUGGGAAUUAUCAUCUAUAUCCUCUCGCCUUUGCAGUGGUUGACGCAGAAAACGGCGCCUCUUGGAAAUGGUUCUUUAGAGGUUUGAGCCAGAAGAUCCCGGACGCUUCGGAUCUUGUUUUUGUAUCAGACAGGGCUAACUCCAUUUCUUCAGCGUUGGAGGAUGUAUAUCCCUUAUCUCACCAUGGAAUUUGCAGGAUCCAUCUGCUCCGCAACAUCACUCCUACAUAUGCGAAGACUGGGUUGCUACCUCUGGUGGAAAGCGCUGCUGAUGCCUAUACGUGUCACGAGUUCUGGUUAAUCUUCAAGGACAUAAAGGAUAAAUGUCCUGAAUUGGCUAAGUAUCUGGAAGAGUCUGAUUUUAGGAAGUGGGCACGAAGCUAUGCGCCUGCGAACAGGUAUAAUAUCAUGACUACCAACAUUGCAGAGUCUCUCAAUUCUAUGUUGAAGAUGCCUCGUGAGUUGCCCAUUAUCUCUCUCCUUGAAACUAUCAGAUUGACGAUGACCACUUGGUUUUUUGAGCGACGCGAAGCGGCUGCGAAACAUAAGCACCUGGUUACUCCAAAAGUUGUUCAGAAAUUGGUAUCUAGGUUAGGGGCCGCAAUGUUGUUGAAUGUGUAUCAAGUUGAUCGAAGCGAGUUUGAGGUGAAGAAUGAAACAAUGAAGUUUGUUGUUGACUUGGAGAAGCGGCAUUGCACAUGUAAUGUUUUCGACAUUGACAAGAUCCCCUGCAUCCAUGCCAUCGCUGCUGCUAAGCAUAUCAAGAGAGAUGAAAACCGUUUUGUUGAUGCUUCUCACUUGACAGAAACGUGGGCUAAAGCUUAUGCUGAAAGCAUACAUCCUGGUGGAGAGUUGUCAACGUCCACCUAUCCAGAGAAUAUUGAUGAACUGUCUUGCCCACCUCCAGCUACCAAAAAGAAAAGUGGACGCCCUCCUACAAAGAGAAAGAGAUCCGUUGGCGAGUUUGGGGUUCCUGGAUCUAAAUCUCAGUCCCACAAGUGCAGCAGAUGUGGCACAGGAGGGCACAACAAGAUCACAUGCCAGAGGCCUAUAGGAUGAAGUUCUACAUUUUUACAUUUUUAUCGAUUAUUAUUUGGAUGUUUGGCUAUUUGAUGGUUACAUGAUAUGCACAAGACCAUAUACAUUUUUUCUUUUGGAACCCUAUCCUGAAUAAGUAUGAUUUCUUACAACUUUUGUAAUAUACAACAUUAUCUUUUGAUCUCAUUUCAAUUUUUAGUUUAAACUUCUUUGCUAGAAAAAAACACAGUAAUAUUCAACUAUUCUGGAAUCCCAUCCAACUUUUGUAACAUCCAACUUUUGUAAUAUACAAUGUAUUAUACUAUAAAUUGUAUGGGUAAAUUCAAUUAUGUGGAAGCAACUAACAGAUGAUUCUCCUCAGCCUAGCGGCUAAACCACGAAACCUAUGAUACCGAAACAUUUGAUCGACCCGGGUUCGACUCUCCUACGAGUAAUGGGUUUUUUUUUUUUUGUUCAAACAUAUAUCUCAGGAAUCACAUUUGUCGCAAUCGGAAGCCCAUCCUGAACUAUCAAAGAUCUUUCCAAUGUAUUAUACUAUAAAUUGUAUGGGUAAAUUCAAUUAUGUGGAAGCAACUAACAGAUGAUUCUCCUCAGCCUAGCGGCUAAACCACGAAACCUAUGAUACCGAAACAUUUGAUCGACCCGGGUUCGACUCUCCUACGAGUAAUGGGUGAUUUUUUUUUUUUGUUCAAACAUAUAUCUCAGGAAUCACAUUUGUCGCAAUCGGAAGCCCAUCCUGAACUAUCAAAGAUCUUUCCAAUGUAUUAUACUAUAAAUUGUAUGGGUAAAUUCAAUUAUGUGGAAGCAACUAACAGAUGAUUCUCCUCAGCCUAGCGGCUAAACCACGAAACCUAUGAUACCGAAACAUUUGAUCGACCCGGGUUCGACUCUCCUACGAGUAAUGGGUGAUUUUUUUUUUUUGUUCAAACAUAUAUCUCAGGAAUCGAAGAGUCUCUUCCAAACGAUAUCAUGUAACUCAGUAACCGAAGAGUUUCUUUUCGUCAAGAUUGGGUGUUAUAUGAUUGGUUAUUUCAGUAACUGACUUCAAUAAUCGAAGAGUUCCACAAUAAUCAAGAGUUUAUUUUAACUGACUUCAAUAAUCGAAGAGUUCCUUUUUGUUCUAUAAAUAUAAGGGACGAUAUCAGACCUUUUAUUCACUCACUUCAUUUCGCUUGAUAUAUCCUUUUGCAAUACAAGUUAGUUUUCGAUUUUUCUCAUUUUCCAUUCAAUUCAUGAACUUUUUUCUAUUUCUAUUUUAUCGUAACAUCUUAGUUUCGAUUUUGUUGCAGGACAAAGUUUCAAUGGAAGGAAGUUCAAAGAAGAUGAUGAAGCGUCCCAUAGAGGAGGUUUACGGAUGUGAUGCCGCCGAAGGUUUCAAGAAGGGGAAGAAGGAAACUGUGGAACAUUACAGGGCUCUUCUUCGUUUGUCCAACGAAUACAGGCUAUCUGAGAAUGAUUGGAAUCUUGCAUCCAGCAAAGCAAAUUCAAUUGCUGUCCAAAUCGAGUUGCUUGAAGAUAUUAUCAAAGCUGAUGGAAAAUUUGAUUUAACUGCUGAGUUGGAGAAACUCAAAGAAGAGCACUCGGAAGCGGAAGGAAUGCUUGCUGAUGUGAAGGUCAAAGUCCCUGAUUGGGAUAAACUUGGCGAAAGUUGGCUCCAUCAUGAGUAAUUUCAUGUUAUCGUCUUCUCUUUUUAUGUUUUUAAGGACCACAUUAUGUUUGAUUUUCAGUUUUUAUUUUAAAUGAAUAAGCACUUUUGUUUCUCUUGUGUUGUUUCUUCAAUUAACAACCUAAAUAAAAAACUUGUUCAAUGUUUUUCACUAUUUUGUAAUGGUUUGGCCUAGUGUUCUUAUAACUUGGUUAUCUGAUUUGCUUAUUUGUUUUUGGAAAGCCAUCCUGAAUACAUAAAAUGAUAUCCAGAUUAUAUAAAUCUAUCGUCUGUGAAUAAAUGAGUUCACAUUUACUCUGUUAUCGAAUAUCCAACGUAGCCUAGUGGCAAGCCCUUCUACUCUUAGUGUACCCUUAUCACACAAUAAGUCGUGUUCGAUCCCCGUUGUGUAUACUCACAUUUUUUUUGUUUUUAAUUAAAUAUUCAAACGUUAUUUUCGUUUUAUUGUAGCUUUUGGCAAGUAUAAGACCCUUGGUACAACGGCUGCACACUUGGAUUAAUCUAUCGAGAGUUCACGAGUUCAAUCAACAUCAGAUCACAUUCUUUUUCAUUUUUUUUUUGUAAACUUUAAAGGAAUUUGUUUUUGGAAAGCUAUCCUGAAUACUUAAAAUGAUAUCCAGAUCAUAUAAAUCUAUCGUCUGUGAAUAAAUAAGUUCACAUUUACUCUGAUAUCGAAUAUCCACCAUAGCCUAGUGGCAAGCCCUUCUACUCUUAGUGUACCCUUAUCACACAAUAAGCCGUGUUCGAUUCCCGUUGUGUAUAUUUUCACUUUUUUCUGUUUUUAAUUAAAUAUUCAAAAGUUACAAGUUAUUAUCGUUUUAUUAUAUCUUUUGGCAAGUAUAACACCCUUGGCACAGCGGCUGCACACUUUGAUUCAUCUUUCGAGAGUUCACGAGUUCAAUCAACAUCGGAUCACUUUCUUUUUCAUUUUUUUUGUAAACUUUAAAGGAAUAUGCUAGGCUUUGGUGCAUUUUGCUUUCUCACUCUUUUUCUGGAAACCCAUCCUAAAAGUACCAUAAGCAUUUGACAAUUCAUCAAUACAUCCUAAAAAUUUUUCAAUAACAAUCUAAAUGAAAAAAACGUUAGGGAUAAUUCAUUACAAACUUAAACUUAAACGUUAGGGAUAAUUAAUAUCAAAGUAGAAAAACAGUGUAGAAAACAGAACAAAUAUGACAUUUUCACUUCCUUUGACCUUCCUGGAAAUCUUUAUCCAUAAACUGGUCGAAGAUCUCACAACAUAGCUUGCUUCGUAAGUCCAUCGCAGUUUCAUCAUUUAUAUUAGCCAUGCUCUUCAAUCCCAGUGACCUGCAUUCCAGCAUCUUCACAACAAAAAUACCACAGUUGUAUGGAAAUUUUGUCUUUGGAAGCCCUUCUGCAAACUUAACUUCAAAUGGACUGAUAUCUUCGAAAUUAACCUCUUCACCAAGAAGUUCCAUCUUUAUGGCACUAAUCAACACUGUCAUAAAUACCCAAAAUUAUACAAUAAAUCAAUCACCAACAGACAACAAAAUGAAUAUGUAAAAAUGCAUCACAAUCACAAGCAGCAAGUGACAAACUUUUAUUUUCUAAAUUAGCUAAUAUUUUUACCUGCCAGUUCUUGGAUUUGAUUAAGAGCACGUUUGAUAUUUGCUUUUGGAAGACCACAAUGGAAGAGUGUGAUUGUGUUGUCCAUCAAUUGUAUCUCCACCCCAAUAUAGUGACAGCUCAACUUAUCUUCAAUGACACCAUAUAUAACAUCAACAUCUUCCAGCCAUACCUUCUUUGGAUGUAUUAAACCUUUCACAAGUUCGCCUACACAGCCCUCCAAUAACUUUUUUUUUUCUUAUGUGGCUUCCUGACAGAUUCAUAAGCGUACCCAACCUCUUCUAAGAAUUUGACUGGUACAAAGCAUGCUGGUGGAAGAUUGUUGUUGCGGAACCAAGCACCUUGCUCAACCCUCUUACAAUUUAGCAUUUCAAAUGCAACAUUUAUGUGCUGCCAAUGUAACAAUAUAGUUAGAAACUUCAUAUAGAACUGCUAUAACAUGGACAUCUAGCAUAGCUCAACUCAACCUCUUCCUAAACAUAUCACACAAUCAAAUAGAAGACAGAACAGAGUGUUGAUUACCUCUUUGUUGAGAUUGUUUUCUGCAUCGUCCAUUUUUUGAAAGAACUCUUUUUCAAUUUCUUUUCCAUUGAUAUAAAACGGUCUGUAGUUGAUAAAAUUAACUAGUAUCAAUCGAAACUUUUACAAAAUAAAUUAGGAAUAUUUAUGCGAGGACAAAAAGUUGCUUACACACGAUAUAUGCCCCGUAGAUCCAUCCAGUGUGUAAGCCUUGAAAACCGAGGAAAUUCAGGUGUCACAAAUGGAUCAAUUGGAAGGAUUACCUCAGGUGUUACAGGUAUAGGAGGGUUUCUAGGUCGUAUUGGCCUCUUCUCUUCUCGCUGUAGAAAAGGAAGCAAAUCUACUGGCUGAGCAUUUGCUUUCUUCUUCUUACCAACAUGUGGCUUCCCCUUUAAUUAAAAAUAAAGACAAAAAUUCAGGAUCGUUUUUAUCUUUAUACUUGAAUGCCUUCCUAAUAUGAAGUAAAAAUAUUUUUUAUACCUUUUUUGCAUGAUCGUCUUGACUUGGUUUCACACUCUUACCCUGCUUUACUUCUAUCUGUGAAACAAAACCGAUAUAUCAAACUAUUGACCUGAACUUCAAUUCAAGUGGAUCUUAUUCAUUUUUAUUACCUCUUUUGCCAUUUUCCCAACACCAUCUUCUGAUGGACCAGCUGCUUCAUUUUUCUUACAAGCGACAGCCUUCGCCUUCCCCUUUUUGAAUGACAAAAAUUCAGAUACAUUUAUAUCUUAAUUCCUAGUAUGAUGUAUAAAUAUUUCAUACCUUUUUAUCACCAUCUCCUUCACUUGGAUUCACACUCUGCGUCUGCUCUUCUUCCAUCUGAAAAUCAAUACCGAGAUAUUAAACAAAUGACAUUAUUUUUCAAUUCAAGUGAUCCAAGGCAUUUGUUUUACCUUUUUUGUCAUCUCCCAAACACCAUCUACCCAUUUUCUUGGUUUUCGCAUCUCAGAAUGGUGGAAGUAAAUUUGUUCUUUAGAAUUGUUCAAAGAGACAAAACACGAGCCAUCAAACAAAAUGACUUUAACUUUUCCAGCGCACCAGGCACCAUUGUCGAACGCCUCCACGUCCUGCAUUAGCUCAUAACUUUUCUUCGCUCCAGAUCUCUCAGGUGGUGGUUGAGGACGUAUUCUGUCAAUUGAUACACGUGUCUCAACACUCCUUUUCCUCUUCUUUUCGUCCAGAGACGGGACGAAGUACUCAACUUUCACCAUCUCAACCCCAUCAACCAAAUAUGUUGCCAACACAUUUCCUGGAUACCAUUUAUGACAAGUAUUGUCAUCUUGUGAUGAAAUCUCCACAUUUGCUCCGAUCUCAAAGGGAUUUUGAACUCUGCUUUCUACAUCCUGUGAUGGUUUAGAUUCAAGGAUAUCCAGUCAUUUUGAUAGUUGCUGAGUAUUUAUUAAAGGUUUUAAUGAAAGUAAUACCUUAUUUUGCUCUGUUAAAAGAUUUCUGCGAGCUCGGGUAUUUGGCUGUGUGUCGGAAAUGUUUGGUGAAAUGAUCUCAUUCAUAAGCUCGUGAGUCUCCUGAAUUCAGGAAUGGUUGAAUGAACACGUACAAGGGCUUCCAAAAAUUACUUGAAAAGUCCAAUUUUUUAAAGAAGGUACCUGCUGCGUCUGAAUUGGAGUAAGGACUGGAGUCUCAAUAUUCUGUUGAGCUAUUGGAGAACCAGGUGUCUCUUUCGUGAUCUCAUUCAUAGGCUCUCGUGUAUCCUGAUGUCAGGAAUGGGAUUAUGAACACGUACCAAAUUCAUAAUUUUAUAAAUACCAACAGUUUUCAAAAUUAUACUUGCCUCAUUGUUAAGUUGUUCAUCUGCUUGAUCUGCAUUGGCUUCACCUUGUCUGGAAGCCGUCUCAUGAAAUGGAGUUGUGUCAGUCUGUGCAAGUACAACAAAAAUUAGGAAGGCAAGCCUAAAUAUGUAUAACAUCUUCCAAAAUUACUUGACAACUCAAAACUGAAUCAAGAACUAGAUAAACAUUAAUUUUAAUUUCCGAAAAAAAAGUUACCUCAUUGUUUGGAGUUUCAUAUGAAGUAACUCUUUGUAGUUUCUCUAGGUUUGUCACACGUUCUUUAAUCUGUUUCCUGUCUUUUUCAAUCAAACACAAACGAUCGUUCAUGAUCCUUAAAUUAUCUCCCACCAUCUCGCUGAUUCUGUUGAUCUUUGAUUCCAAAGACUCCUCCUGAUACGAAGUAGAAGCUUGACUCAUCCCUCCAUUCCCAAACAGUAAAGAUGCUCUUCUUAUUUCUUCAUUAGCACCGUAUAGGUCUACUGACAUGUUUCGCCAAUCUCUAAUUUUAAACUUAUAACCUCUCUUGGAUAAAUCGGCCAUGUCAUCCAGAUCUUUAUUAGCUUCGUCUCCCAUGCAAACAUCAUCUUCUGGAUCAUUAGAAAUAGGAGGUAGGAUGCAUGUGACCUUAAGCUGAAACCAUAAAAAUAAUUAGCUUUUAAAUGGAGAAUCAUAAGGCAAAACAGAAACAAGAAAAAAAUAAUGUAAAAACUUACAUGAUCUUUGAUUUCAAUUAGGAGAACAUCUAUCAGCUGUGGAGAAGCUAUUUGAAGGUACUUCUCACACAAAAAUAUUGGGGUAGACGGUUGAACGCUCAGAAUAGGAACAACUUGACUGAAUGCAUACUGUAGCAAAGGUACUGACUCAAGUAUCCAUAUAAGAAAUGCCAUAGGGAACCCUUGCAAAUCAUAAUUGUUUUUGUCGAGGCUUUUGUCGACAGCUCUCUGAAGUGAUUUUAACAGCAAAUUAUAAGCUGUUCUCCCCCAUGGGUAUGUCAUCAAGACAUCCAUAUCCUGCGCUAUUUUCACAUAAUCCAAAGUAAAAGUUGUGCCACCGUCGAGAAGGCUCUUCUGUAGUAGUAUGCUCUCAAUCAGGAGGAGCAUUGCAAGGCAGAAUCUCUCAUCAGAAGCAUCUUCUCUUGUGUUUCUGAGCUGCUUCUCCACGUCCUUUACUGUAUGAGUACGCCCUUUUAGGAAGUCCCACUUAAAUUUCUCGGUUCCCUCUCGUGGUUCUCUUGCUUCACCACUACAUUUCAAACCAGUCACCAUGUGGAAUUCUCUUAUAGAGAACCUCAUUGGCUGAGCACCAAAAUGGAACCAUGCUUCGUGUCUCUUCACUGUCUUGAUGCUUUUGGUGAGAACUGCGUGCACUAUCUUAGCUGAUAAUUUCAAAGACCUCUCUCCAAGCUUGAUCACCGGUCCCAAAAACGUCCCUCUUAUUCUGUUGAACUCAUCAUUUCCUAGAAUUUCCUUAACAGUUUUGAUAUAAGCAACUAUCGAGUGUUGGUUUAUCGAUAUCGUCUUCUCUGGCUCUGAUCCAAUCGGAUACCUCAGCUCAGGCAGUGCUAGUCUUAAUGGUAAUGGAUCUCCCAUCUUGUUUCUAUCCUGCGUAAACAAGAAAAAUUUUAUUUGUCUAAAUUAAUUAAAAUCCAAUUUUCAGGAAGGGUUUCCUGAAAAAAAUACAAAUCCUUCCCGAAGUCUAUACACAUGCUUUCACAUGAACUAGAAUUCUACGAAUCAUAUUAGGUUAAAACGAGCAAGUCUAUACACAAGCAAAAACCAGGAGACCAAUCUCUCAGAAAGAAAACACACAUAAGGUUGAAUCUGCAACAUACCUUCAAGAGAUAGAGCUCUAGAAAUGGUUUUUCUCGGAGAAUAGAGAGAGCUCGCGUAAAAGAUCGAGAGAGAGAGAGUUCUGGAGAUGGGUUUUCGUCGGAGAUCGAGAGAUAUGGAGAUGAGAGAGAGAUUCGAGAGGCGGAGACGAGUGAGAUUCGAGAAGUUUGAAACGGCGAGAGUGUUGAGACGGCAAGAGUUUUGUUUUUUUUCAAUCGAAAUGUAUUGUUUUGGAAACCUAUCCUAUAUUAAUUGGGUUAAGUAUGCUUAUGUAAUAUUCUUUAACAGAUGAUUCUCCUCAGACCAGCGGUUAAACCAAGGCUUUUUAUAACUCAAAAGUCUCUCUAUCCCCGGGUUCGAUAUGUGGUGGAUUCAAAAUCUAUUUUAAUUCUUUUUUGUGUUACAGUUUGGAGUUAAAUAAAAUUAAAUGUAAUCCAUAACAGAUGAUUCUUCUUGGCCUAGUGGCUAAACUCCCACACUAUCCAAAUACGCAGACUCUCUCCCUCUGGGUUCGAUCCUUUGUGGUUCUAAAUUUUUGUUGUCUGUAAACAUCACAAUUUUAAGCUUACCAUAUACAUGUCCAAUCCUUAGUAUAUAAUCUCAUUUCAUUCUUUUUUACAUUUGAAACACUUAACUUUUUUUCUGGAAACCCAUCCAGAAACAAUAUUUUAACCUUCCAAGAUAUAUGAUACCCAAAUAAAAUACUUGAUAUCCUUCCAAUCUUUCUUAUGUAACCAGACGCCAACAACAUAACAAAAUAAACAGUCAUAACUAAAACCGAGUCUUAACUAAAACAAAAAAUGUUUUCAUGCAUCAUUCUCAUUUCCCAAAGCUCUCAUCCACAAAUUGGUUGAAGAUCUCACAAGACAAGGUUCUCCUUAGCUCCAAUGCAUUGUCAUCAUUAAUCUUUGUCAUGUCUCCUAUCUUCAAUGACUGGCACUCCAGAAUCUUGACAAGAAAUAUCCCACAGUUGAAAGGAUGUUUUGUCUUGGGUAAACCUUGUGCCUGCUCAAUCUCAAAUGGAAUCAUCUUCACCUUAUCUACCUCAUCACCAGAAGAUUCCACCAGCAGAUUAGAAAUCAACACUGUCAUAUUUAAAAAUCAAUAUCAAGAUAGAAUCAGUUGAAUAUUUCAAACCAAGAAACAGAUGAAUACAUCAAAUACAGAUUGUUUAUACAUACCUGCCAACUUUUUCACUUGAGGAAUAUCAAUGCUGUUGCUUUCCUUUUGAAAACAAUCAUAUACUGUGAUUCUUUUCUUCUUCAAAUGAAUUUCCAUCCCAAUCCAGACAUUGCUUUUUUUUCCAAGAGUAAUCCCAUACACAACAUCAACAUCUUCUCCCCAUGUCUUCUCUGGAUAUACCUUCCCUCUCACAGUAUCUUUAAAUAAAUCGUUGAAAAUCUUUUUACCUUUGACCUUUUCUUUCUUGUAAGCCAAAUCAUCAGAGAGCAAGCAAUGCAAGAACUCCAUAGGUAGGAAGCACGCCUUUGGAAUCUUGUAGUUGUGGAACCAAGCAGCAUUCUCAUUUCUUCUGCAAUUUAGCAUUGCAAAGGCUCCAUCAAUGUGCUGCAAAAAAAAAGGCAAACAUUAUCUAAUUUGUUACUAUAUAAUUUCCUGAAACUAAACAAAUCCUUCCUGAAUUUUUUUUUAAAAAAAAAGCUCAAGGCAAGAACAUAUGUAAACAAAUUACCUCUUUCUUAAGGUCCUUUUUUGCAUUUUCCAUGCUUUGAAAGAAAGAUUUCCUUAUCUUAUUAUCAUUGAUUGAUAGGGACCUGCAGUCGAUUAAAGAUUCAAAGGAAUUACCAAACCUCUUAUACAUAAAUAUAAGAAUAUAUAGACAAGGACAGAAACAUGCUUACGUUUCAUGCAUGCCGGGCUUUAAUGUCAUCCAAUUUUGAAGCCUUGAAAGCUUAUGUUCCGCAGGAGUUGAAAACGGAUCAACUGCAGGUAUAAUCUCAGGUAUUACAGUUAAAGCCGGAUUUCUGUCAGACUUGAAUGGAGUUUUUGUGUCUCUAGAUCGUUUAGGCACCCUCUCGCUCCUUCUUAGGAAAACAUUAUCCAUUCCUGAAUUUUGUGAUGAGGCAGCAGCUUUCCUUUUCUUAUCAGGCUUCACCUUUAAUCAAACAAUAGACACCAAGCAAAAUAUUAUCAAAUUUGUUGCAAUCGGAAUUUCUGGAAACCAUUCCUGAAACUAAAAUGUAUGUAUAUCAAACAAUUCACGUGAAGUAUAAUUCUAGUUAUGAUUUACCUUAUCUGCCAUCUUCCAGACUCCAUCUUUCCAUUCUCUAUGAAUUCGCAAAUCUGAAUGUUUGAAUAGAAUAGUUUCCAUAGAAGUAUAGAGACACACCGAGUAUGUGUUAUCACCAAGUACCAUGCUAAUUUGUCCGCUGCUCCAGCCAUUGUUGUAGAAGGCUUCUACCUUAUCCAUCAUCUCAAAGGAUUUUUGGUCACUAGUUGGUGUUGCAGGACGUAUUUUGUCAGCCGUGAUAGUAUCCUGAAGUUUCUGAAGUCUAUGUUGGUCUGUGAAGAGUGUCGUGUACUCAACUGUCAGCUCCUCUAGUCCUUCACACAGUUUAAGAUCAACAACCUUUCCUGGAUACCAUAUUUCGUCAUCAGUAGACAAAAUUUCAACCUCUGCGCCUAUUUGAAAGUGAGCUAGAAGCCUGCUUACUUCAACCUAUUAAAAAUGAAGAUUCAGUAACAUCAGCGGUUUUAAAUUGUUAGAAUAAUAAUUAAAGAUCAAAUAUACUCGAUGCAUACCUCGUUUUUUUCUGAAAAAUCUAUAGCACUUGUCUGAAGAUGCUCUGUUUGCUGAGUAAUAGGCGGCAUCUUCGAAACAUAUGUGGAAACUAGCUCAGUAGUAGGUUCUGUAGUAUCCUUGAGAUUUUCUUCUGCUUGAUUCUGCUCUGAUGGUGUCUCAUCGGAUUGAUCUCCCUCACUUGUCUGAAGGUGCUGUGUUUGCGGAGUAAGAGGCUGUGUCUUCGAAACAUCUGUGGAAACUAGCUCAGUAGUAGGUUCUGUAGUAUCCUUGAGAUAUUCUUCCGCUUGAUUCUUUCUGCUUGAUUGUGAAUGCUCUCCUUCACUUGUAGAAAAAUAUUGGGUCGCAGUUUCUGUCUCACUCUAUAAGACAAAAGUAAAUGGUAAGAGUUAGUUGAAUAGAAAAAUAUUACCUAAACAUUUUAAAUAUUUCUUCUUACCAAAGCAUUCUUAUUUUCUUCAAUAACUAGUGCAAUUAGUGAAGACAAUGGAGAGGAAGGUCUGUAAUGCACAGCAUGUGUAUCCUCCUGUAAUAACAGUAAAAUAAAAGAGGUAGUUAUGAAGAAGUUUCUACAAUUUAAAAUUCAAGUUGUACUUAUGAAAGACAUUUCUAUGCUUACCUUUUUAUUGUUUGCUGAAAUGAUCUCAGUCAAUGGCUGUGUAGCCUCAUACGUUUCCUCUGUUACCGUCUGCAAAAAAAACAAAAAAAAGUCAGGUAGGGGAUCAAAAACACGUACAAAAGCUUUCAAACAUUACUUGAAAUCUCCAAGAUUUUUUGAACAUUUACCUGCUGUUUCUGAAUUGGAGUAAAAACUUGAGCCUCAAUACUCUUUGGAGAUAUUGGAGAAGAAGGUGUCUCAUUCAUUUCCAGUGUUUCUUUUUGCAAAACUUGAGUCUGAGCAGCAGGUGACUCAAUCACAAUCUGCAAAAAAUAUCAGGAAAGGCCAUCAUGAAUACAUUCAAUUAUAAUUUCUAGAGUAAAUAUUACCUCAUCAUCUGGUUUUCCUUCUCCUUGAUUAGUUUUGGGUGGCGUUUCAUCAGUAGAGGUUUGUGUUUCCCUCUGCCAAAAAUUAGAAAGGUCUAUAUAUGUAAAUCACCCAAAACUAAUUGUAAACUCCAACUGUCAUUGAGCAUAUACCUCUUUUGUCAGAUUAGGAGUAAAAACUUGAGUAUCAAGGGCAGGCGUGUCAUCCGAUGGCUCUCUCUCAAUCUGUAAAAAUUAUCACGAAGUCAAUCCAGAGUACGUUCUAAAGCUUCCAAACAUUAACUUAAAAAUCCAAGAUUUUUUUUGACCAUGUACCUGCUGAGUCUGACUUGGAGUAUAAACGGGAGUUUCAAUACUCUUUGGAGCUAUUGGAGAAGAAGGUGUCUCAUUCAUUUCUACUGUUUCUUUCUGCAAAACUUGACUCUGACUAGCAGGUGACUCACUUGUUAAUUUCUCUCUCACAAUCUGCAAAAAAAUAUCAGGAAUGGCCAUCAUGAAUACAUUCAACUAUAAUUUCUAGAAUAAAUAUUACCUCAUCAUCUGGUUUUCCAUCUUGAUUAGGAUUGGAUGGCCUCUCACCGGUAGACGUUUCUGUUUCUUUCUGUCAAAAAUCAGAAAAGCCUUUAUAUGUAAAAAAAAAUCACCCAAAACUAAUUUGUAAACUCCAACUGUGAAAACAAUAUCAUUGAGCAUAUACCUCUUUUGUCAGAUUAGGAGAGAAUACUUGAGUAUCAAGGGCAGGAGUUUCAUCAUCUGAUUCAUUCAUUGUGUCCUGCAAAAAUCAAGAAUGCAUUCUAGAAUAUGUACAAAAGCUUCCAAAUAUUACUUCAAAACUCAACAAUAUUUUAUUGGUUACAUACCUCAUUUGUCAAAUUAGGCUGUUGAGACAUUGGAGAUAAAGGCGUCUCACUCGAUGAUUGCGUGUAAUCCUGCAAAAAUCAGGAAGGCAUUCAGGAUUUUGUACAAGAAUUUCCAAAUAUUUUCUUAAAAAUUUUUGAGCAUAUACCUCAUUUUGUUGAGACUUUGGAGAUGCAGCUGAUUCAAUCAUUGUCUCCUGCAAAAAUCAGGAAUGCAUUCAAGAAGUACAAAAGCUUUCCAAAUAUUACUUCAAAACUCAACAAUAUUUAUUGGUUACAUACCUCAUGUGUCAAAUUAGGCUGUUGAGACAUUGGAGAUAAAGGUGUCUCACUCGAUGGUUGCGUGUGAGACAUUGGAGAUAAAGGUGUCCCACUGGAUGGUUGCGUGUGAGACAUUGGAGAUAAAGGUGUCCCACUGGAUCGCUGUUUGUCAAAUAUUAGGAAGGCAUUCAAGAAUAUGUACAAGAUCUUCCAAAAAAUACUUGAAAAUGCAAAUGUAAAAGAAGAUGUUUUGAGAAUUUACCUUUUGUGUCACGUUAGUGGGAAAAACAUUGCUGUUUCCUUCCAACUCUGACACACGAGCUCUAAGAUGUAUGUUUUCUUCUUCCAGUAAUGACAUUCGAUCCUUCAUGCUCUUCAGAUUCUCCUCCAUUACCGUGAUGAUCCUGUUCACUUUUUCAUUUACUGAAUCCUCAUCAAUCGGAGUAGAAGCUUGGCCAGUCUCCUUAUUUGCCAUCAUUUGAAUAAGAGCAUCCAAUGUGUCAAAUGUGUCUACACACCUAUUUUCCCAGUCAUCGGCUGUAAUCUUGUACCCUUUCUUUGUUACAUCUUUCACUGUUUCCAACUCGUCACUAUAUUUGUCUUCAAUGGAGAUAUCAUCUUCUGGAUCAUGAGGAAUAGAAGGUAGUAUGCAAUGGACCUUCAGCUGAGAAUAUUUCAAAAAAAGACCAAUGAGAAACAUAUUAAAAAGAAGAAGCCAAAUAAACUGAGAAACAUAUACUUGGAAAAGCUUACCUUUGUAUCAGCUUCAACCUGUAAAACCCUAUCAAGUGAUGGAUUCUCUAUCUCAGUGUAUUUUUCACACAAGUAAGUCGGCCCAGGAACCUCAACUGUUGGUACACACUUACUGAACUUAUUCCUUAGCAAAGGAAUCGACUCUAGUAUCCAAAGAAGGAAUACUAGAGGAUAACCUUGCAACUCAAAUUUGGAUUUAUUCUCCAAAUGAUUCGCGACAGCGUUUUGAAUUGACUUCAGGAGCACAAUGUAAGCCUCUUUUCCCCAUGGAUAUGUCAUAUCCUGUGCAUUUUUCGCAUAUUCCAAAGGAAAACUCCCUCCUUUGCUCUUCCGCAAUAAUAUGCUCUCUACCAGGAUGAGCAUUGCGAGGCAUAUUCUCUCCUCAGAAGCAUCUUCUCUUGUGUUUCUGAGCUGGUCCACCACGUCACUUAACUUAUGACUACGCCCCUUUAGCAAUUCCCAAUUAAAUCUCUCGGUUUCCCUUCGUGGUCCUUCUAAUGCACCACUACAUUUCAAGCCUGUCAUCAUAUGAAAUUCUCUUAUAGAGAACCUCAUUGGCUGCGCACCGAAAUGGAACCAGGCUUCAUUCUCCUUGACAGAAACGAUGCUUCUAGUGAGAAUGGCGUAGACUAUCUUUGCUGAUAACUUCAAUCCUCUCUCACUGAGCUUCAUUACAGGUCCCAGAAAUGAUCCUCGGACUCUUAUCAUCUCAUCUGGUUUUAGGAUGCUUUUGACAAUAGAGAUAUAAUCUGAACCAGAGUAUUGGUUGAUUGCUGACUUUUCUUUUGGCUGUGAACCAAUAGGAUACUUCAGCUCUGGCAGUGCUAGUUUUAGAGGUACUGAAUCUCCCAUCUUGUUUCUAUCCUGCGUAAACAAGGAAAAAAAAAAUUUCAAACUUUUCUGGAAGGCUUUCCUGAAAUAACACAAAUACAAAACAACACAAAAGUCUUCAUUUGCUUCGCUUGUUAAUAAGAACGAGUAACACACAAAUCAAAAUCAAAACGCAAGCUUCCCAAAUUUUAAUUCAAAAACCCUAAUUUUAAAAAGUUACCGAUUUUGAGAGUAGAGAGUGUGACGCUGAUGAUUAGAUAGCCGGAGAAGAUGAUUAUCGAGCCGGAGAAGAUGAUUAGCGAGCCGGAGAAGACGAUUAGCGAGCCGGAGAAGAUGAUUCCCGAGCCGGAGACUUCGAUUCCCGAGUCGGAGAAGAUGAUUCCCGAGCCGGAGACGACGAUUCCCGAGUCGGAGAAGAUGAUUCCCGAGCCGGAGACGACGAUUCCCGAGUCGGAGACGACAGUGCCGGUGAGGGUUUGAAGAUUCCCGAGAGGAGACGACACGAUUCGCGAUCGAAUGAAAUGAAAUGUUUUUUUUUUCUAUUCUUAUAACAAAGGGUAUAAAGGUAAAUUACCCCUUUAAUGAAACCUAUUUUUGUGACUUCUGAUCCUGAGUGCUAGUUUGGGGAGGAAAACUUCAAAAGGUGCUAUUAUUGACAAUUGCCCUUUUAAAAACGUGCAUCAUUAAAAUGUUACCUAAAACAUGCAACACUAAUAUAUAACAUGCAUCAAUAAAACUAGAAUUUGACUCACACAAUUGUACGGAUAUUAUUUUCAGUUGAUUAAAUUUAAAAAUAAUUAUUUAUUCAAAAAAUAUUUAAGAAUGGCUAUGUUUUUAAAACUUAUAUGGUAUUAUUUGCUCAUAACUCAUUUGUCAUUUGAUAAAUUGUUAGAAAUAAAAAUUUUAGCAUAAUAUAACUCAGUUGUCAUUUGCUAAAUUUAUAGUUUUUAUUUAUAUUUUUUAUUAUUUAAUUAUAAUAUUUUCAUUUUAUAUUUGAAAGAUAAAUGAAUUUUCUUUCAAACAAUAUUUUUGUAAAUGUAUUUUUUAAAAAAUAAUCAACUAAAAUUGUUAUUAUCAUUGAAUAUAAUUAUUUUUGACAUAAUUUGAGUUUUCGUUUACAUCAAAACUUAUCAUAUUUUAGGAUAAUUUUAAUUUAAAAUGUAAUUUUCAUAUUUUUCAAACAAAUUCUAAAAAUAUUUUUUUAAAUAUUUUGUUAUAAUUGUUAAAAAAAUAUUGAGUUGCAUUUCAAAUAAAAAGGUAAAGAUAUUAAAAAUAUUCUAAUUAAAAUAUGUAAAAUUUAAUAUAGUUUUAAGGAAAUUGUCAAAAUAAAAAAAAUUACACAUAAAAUAAUCAUGAUUUUUGUUAACUGGGCGGAUCAUUAUUUAUAUGAUAUCGCACACGAAAGAAAAAAAAAUUUAAAUUAUCUAAUUAACUCUAUACUCAUUUUAUUUAUAUUUUUAUAUGGUAUCAUACAUUCGUAAAAAAAUAGAUAGUUUAAGAUGAAAAAAAAUAUAUUUACUUAAUGAAUAUAAUAUGAACGAAUAUUACAAAUACAUCAUUUAAUAAAAUAAAUAAUUAAAAAGUGAAAAUUCAUACCCGCGCUGGCGCGCGGAUCAGGAUCUAGUUUUAAAUUAUUCUACAUGUUAUUUCCCAAUUCAAAGUUUCAAACCAUAAAACCACAUAAUCUUUGUGGUUAAAAAAAAAGAAAAAAAAAGCAUAGGCGAUGGAGAGGCAUGUUUUAACGAGGGUCAAGUUGGUUUUUAUUUGGUUAAUUGUUUUUGGUUCAAGUGUUUCGACUUUAAUUUAGGUUGUAAACGAAUUUUGGUUUACGUUGUAAACCAUUAAAUCAGUGAAAAGCCGGGUUUGUGUUUCAGUUUUUUGAAUUGGUGAGUAAUACGUAAAAUAACUUAAAAUAUGUGAAAUUAAGAUGAAGUUGAAAGUUUGUGUAUAAUUGUUAUUAUAUGAUAUUUUGUGGGGGAAUUAUGUCCUUUACUCAAAAACAUUUAUAUAAGUUUAUAAAUUCAACCCCAUUUCCUAAUCUUAAAACCUAAACAAUAAUCAAUAAUCUAAACCCAAAUGUUAAUGUAGUUUUGAUUGAGCAUAUCUUUUUAAAAUUAGUAGCCAAUUUAGAAUAUUUCAAACUUCUUAAAAAUAUUCUAUUGAUGUAAAUAUAAAGAUUAUCUAUUGUAUAUAUGAUUAAAUAUUGGUUCCAUUUUAUAUAUUAAUUCAAAAUUAAGAAUUAAAUUUAUAAUAUAAUAGAAACUUUGGGUUUUAUUGGUUUUAUUAAAUAUCAAGGUUCAUAAUCAGAGAUAGUGAAAAACUAAAUUCAAGUUCGAGCUUAGAGUGAGAGAUGUGAAAAUAAAAAUAGAAUGAUCAAAAUGUUAAUGAGGCAAAGUCUUGAGAGAAAAUGAGAGAAAAUAGAAUUUUUAGGUUGAAAUCUAUUUAUAGAUGUCUUAAAACGAGCUGGAUCCACCCAAUAAAGCUCGGUCAAACCAAUAAAAAGUGGUCUUUCCGUCUGACAUGGUCAUCCCACUAUAAGUAGGUCGCUACAACACUUAGUUGUGUGGGGCUUCUUGGGGAACCAUAGCGACAUGCUCUGGUCGCUACAGCUAUGGUCGAUACAUGGUUGAUAUGACUCCAGUAGAUAGAUCAUAACUCCUUCAAUACAGCUACAAAUGAUUUGAAACCCCGGCAUUGGAAAGCUAACUCAAUUGUCUAUAUCGUCCCGAAAUUCGAGCUUCAGAAGAGAUCUUUAAGGCCGUCAUCCAUGUUCAUCUUUUACCCUUUUGACUCAAAACUCCUCAAAUUCCCUCAAACUCACCAAUAAAUAUCUCCAAAACCUGAUAUAGACACAUGCAAUGCGAUAUAAAUAUGUAUAAAUGCAUCUCUAUAUGAUCAUUAUAUACAUUAAAUGAUAAUUUAAAAUCAUGGAAAUUUAUAAGAUAUCAACCCUCCCACACUUAUCAUUUACUUGUCCAUAAGUAAACUUUCAAGAACAAAGUGAGAAAGAGGUGCGAAGGUGGAAGCUCAUUACCAAAAGAUAUUUUUCAAAGCCGUCAACGUGAUAUCCUUACAAAAUCAUACCAAAUAUCAAGAGCAAAACAUCAUAUGAAACUCUAACUUCUCUAGGCUGAUACUACUCAAAUUACCCUAAGGAGUGAUUUUACUCUCUCAAAUAAGAAGUUCAAUUGUAGUACUUAGGGAUCGAAGCUACAGAGAGUUAGGGCACACAAUAGACUAUUAAAACCAAGAUUAAGCUAGGCAAAGCAGUAAAUCAAUGAAAGCAAGAUGAACAAAGUAGUUGUUCCAUUGGUUGAUUGAGGUUGUAAACAAUUAAGAGAAAUAGCUAGACCUAGGGAUUUAUCAAUCAAGAGAUUCAAAACUUCAAUUCAAGGAUGCUAAUGGUUUACAGAUUAAUUUUAGAACUUGAUUUUAAUAAGUAAGCAAUCCAGCUUUCACAUGCAAUUGCUAAUCAGAUGUUUAAGUCCAGUCUCAGCUGUCGCUUAUUGACUUGGGGCGAGUGUCGAUCGAUGCUAUGGCCUGAGCGUCGAUCGAUACUUCCCCAGACAAGCAUUAACGACCUAAUCAAUAUAGUUCAACUAGAUUCCUAGACCAAUUCUCGCAUGCGCCUAGGUAUCUAAUCCAGCAGAGUUCGGGUUCCGUUAAUUGAUUGCACUUUCGUGCCUCUCAACUAUCCUAUGAUUCUAGGUUCAAAUAAUUAGUCGCACUGUCGUGUUAUUCUAACUAUUCCAGAUCCUAGUAUUACAAAUCAUCCUGGUGUAGAAAUCUAUAGAUAAUAUAGCAAUCCUAAUUGAUCAGUUUGACAUUAAGCUCAUGAAAUCCCUAAACCUAACAAGAUGAAUUACUUAGACAUGCAAACAAUAACACAAAUCAUAGUCUGAAAAAUAUAAUAGAUAAAUCAAUGGUAAGACAAAUGGAGUUCCAAUCAAUAUCUGAAGGAGAAUUGAUCUUCUCUCUAAACCUAAGAAAAAACAAUAGAAUAGGAUAAUAGAAAGCUUGUUACCGUUAACAAUGAUUUAUAAAUAAAUACAUAAAUAGGGUUUCUGGUCGUCCAUGGGUAUUUUGGUAACUUGGUGUGGCUUCUGGGCUUCAAACGGUCUUGAAAAAUGCGUGUCCCACGUUCUGGCAUCACUGUCGAUCGACACUAAUGCUGUGUUAACGAUCGACAGUUAUUCAUCUCCUCGAUAGCUUCUUCUCGCGAGGCAGACUGACUACUUUUCAGUAAAACGGUCAUAACCUCUGCUGCAGGUUACCAUUGACCUCAAACCGAUGGAAUUGGAAAGCUAACUCAAAGCUAUAUUUUGUGUCAAAAGAUGGGCUCAAUAUAACGGUGGGAAAGUCUCCAUCUAUAGCUAAAUAUCUGACGUGUAUGUGCCGCUCUGCACAUCAAAAGGCUCCAAAAGACACCAAAAUCACCACAUUCCUCCAAAUCGUCCAUGAACCUGUAAAUACUCUAAAUAGACUCUAUAUAGUAGUAAAUAUAUGUUAAAACACUUAUAGAUCAUGGCUAAAAGAGGGUAAAAUCCAUGGUCUAUCAACUUCCCCAGACUUACCCUUUUGUUUGUCCUCAAGCAAAACAGACGGACAGUCUCUCUGAAAGAGGUUUGAAAACAGCAGGGACUCACAUGAUUUAAAACUUAAACUCAAAAAUCAAUAUUUAUAUCGAGCAAUAACCAAAAUGAAAAAAAAACGACACAAAAAUGAGAAAAAUAUUGAAGAUAUUUAGGAUUGGCACGUGAACGUAAACUUCUCAUAACCAUAAUUAACUUUUAAAUUGCUAAAUCAUUAUAUAAAACAGAACUCUCAUAUUUUCAUUGUAACCAAAUAGUAGAUCUGAGAUUCUCUCGUCUAAAUGUUAGGUUCUUAUGCGAUAAAUGAAUUUUUGACCUAAGAUAUUUUUAAAAUAGAAUCAGCUCAUCAGUAAACAAAUUAUAUAAUUAACAAAAAAAAAAUUUUAAAUGAUUUAAGGGCCAAAAUUUAUUCGAUCAAUAAUAUAAAUUUUAUUUUUCCAUACGAUAUUUCUUAAAUAAUUCGUCCUACGCAAAGCGUACGUCUUAUCCAAGUAUACUUAAUAUAUUACCAAAAAAAUGUAUCCACAAGAUAUUAAUUUUACAGAAUUUUCCCAUUUUAUGUCUGAUUUGUUUCAGUUUGAUUUUCCUUUAAAAUUUUAAGGCUACAAAAAUGGAUAUCACUGAAUUAAUUUACGUUGUGUUAUUUAUUUUUUUGAAACUCAUUUACGUUGUGUUAAGUCGUAGAACCAUAGAACCAGGCCCGGCUUAAAUACAUUAUGGGCCUUGUGCAGACAUAUAUUUUUUCCCAAAAAUUAUAAGGAAAAAAGUUUCAUAGCUACCCGAAGUUUACACUAAUAUGGUGAAAACCAUCCAAUAUAUGAAAAUAUGUCUACAACAACACGAAGUUUAUGUUAAUACAUGUCACAUGUACGAAGUAAAUAAUAAUAUGGUAGCAACAUCACAAUUGGGUUUAAUUAAUUUUAAGCUAAGUUAAUGGGGUCAAUCCGUGAUUUACUAAACUUAAUAAACUUAAUAAUUUAAUAAACUUAAUAAACUUAAUGGUUUAUUAAGUUUCAUAAACUUAAUUUAUUUUAUUAAUAAACUUUAACUUAAAAACUUAAUAAUUUAUUAUACUUAAUAAAUUUAAUAAACUUAAUGGUUUAUUAAGUUUAAUAAACUUAAUUGAUUUUAUUAAUAAACUUUGUAAUUUAAUAAACUUUAACAUAAUAAACUUAAUAAUUUAUUAUACUUAAUAAGUUUAUUAAACUUAAUAAUUUAAUAAACUUAAUAAACUUAAACUUAACAAAUUUAUUAAACUUAAACUUAAUAAACUUAAUAAAUUCAUUAAACUUAAACUUAAUAAACUUCAUAAAUUCAUUAAAUUUGUUCAAUUUAUUAAGUUUAAUAAAUUUAUUAAGUUUAUUAAUAAAUGAUUAAGUUUAUUAAGUUUAUUAAUAAAUGAUUAAGUUUAUUAAGUUUAUUAAUUAAUGAUUAAUUUUAUUAAGUUUAAUAAAUUUAUUAAUUUUUAUAAGUUUAAUAAAUUUAUUAAUUUUAUUAAGUAAGUUUAAUAAAUUAUUAAGUUUAUAAACAAAAUCAAUUAAGUUUAUUAAAAUUAAUAAAUCAUUAAGUUUAUUAAGUUUAGUAAAUUACGGAUUGGCCUCACUAACUUAGUUUAAAGUCAAUUAAACCCGAUUGUGAUGUUGCCACUAUAUUAUUAUUUACUUCGUACAUGUACAUGUGACAUGUAUUAACAUAAACUUCGUGUAGUUGUUGACACAUUUUCAUACAUUGGAUGCUUUUCACCAUAUUAGUGUAAACUUCGUGUAGUUAGAAAACUUUUUUCCAAAUUAUAAUGAUAUUUCCUUAAAUUUACAAAUUAGGACUCUGUGCAUGUGCACCUUGAGCACACCCCAAGAGCCAACACUGAAUAGAACCAAAUAAGAAAGAUUUCUGAUAAAAAGAUUGUAUGAUUAUUUAGGAGACUAGAUUCCAUGUUGUGUGCCGUGCUGCCGUGCUGAAAAUACUUUUAGUUUUAUAACCCAUGUUCAAAAACACGGCCGAGUUGGCCGACUUCGCGCCGGUCAAACGUAAUUCGGUGGUGUUUUGCCGCGAUUUUGUGUUAUUCGGGUAAAAACUCGGAUUAAAAAAAUAUACAUAUUUUGACAUUUUCCAGUUUGAAAUCGGUUCUUUAAGCAUAGAUCUAUCAUAUUUCAUUGUUACCGAUCAAGAAUUGAAGUUAAUCGUCGAAGAAAAAAAUGAUUUAUGUUAAAAAUAAAUGAAAAACGGCUGUUAAUUAGGGUUGGAGAAAAAACAGGUCGGGAGGAAAAUGAUGAAAGUAAAAUUACAAAUGUGUCUUUCAUUAAUGAAAUGUUUAAAGAAAGAGCAAAAAAAUGGACAUUUUUGGGAAUUGAACCCGGGAGAAGAGAACUAGUUUUUUUAAGGACUUGCAUGCAUGAGAUUCUACGCGUACAGUUUUACGAUGCAAGUCCUUACGGUACAUUGUAAAACUGUACCGACAUCGUCAAUGUUUAGUCUACGCGUACGGUUAUAACUCACUAGUUAUUUAUAUUAUUAUUAUUAAUUUAUUAUUAUGGCGGAGUCGUCACAUGCAUGCAUGAGAUUCAUUCAUUCAUAAUGUCACACUCACACACUAUCCAUUCCCCUUUUUUUUUUGGACUCUUUUUUUUUUGUUAUAAAGAAAAUAAAAUUCUUAAAGUGACAGACUUCACGGGUUACACUGUGUUACUACCCGCCAAAUUCUACCCGCCACCUUUUAAAUUUCAUUUUAGUUUCUUCACCGUCAAUAAAUCGUCAGGACAAAAUAAAUACUUUUACAUUUCAUUGUUUUAUCGUACCAAGUGUGGUCAGUAUCUCUAAUAAUUUUGAAGAAUAUUUAGAAAACUAGUUAGAUUAUAAUUUUCGACGAUGUUAAUAUAUAUGUCGAAGUAAAUAAGGUAAAAAAAAAUGGUUCGUUUAUGGUUUUAUAUGGCAUUUAAAUUUUGAAUAUUGACUAUCAGAUUCAGUAUAUCAUUUAGAAUAGAAACAAAAGUAACCUAAAACUUAUAGAUUGAACUUCUUUUCAGAAUGUAUAUGCAGAGCCGGUCCUAGUGUAUUUGAGGUUACAAGCUAAAAAAUAAAAAAUGGCCGAAUUUUUUUUUUUUUUGCACUAGGGAAUUAUCGAACCUUGCUCUUUCAGACUAGACAUAUGUUGAUUCAACCACUAGACUACACAAGUUUUUGAUAAUUUUGUGGCCGCUUUUAUAUUUAUAAAGUGGCGGCCGGAAGUCCAUGCUUCACCAGCUUGGGCCCAAGACCGGCACUGUGUAUAUGGCACUGUGUAUAUGCAUUUACAGCUUUAGUAUCCUUUGAAUUAUUAAUUAUCAAAAAAAAAUUGUAUCCUUUGAAUUAUCGAUUAUACUAGCCAGAAUUAGUACAUGCUGACCUAUUUACAUUAUAUUUGAAAUCCCAUAGUGAAUACGCGCACCAUGACUAGUAUUACUAUUAUUGUAUUAUAUUAUAUUUACAUUAAUAUGUAAUAUGAAAAAACUAUAAAGAGAAUCAUCAGUCACGGACAUCAUGACUCAAUCACUCUAAGCUAGAAUGCUAGAUACGGAAUAUCUUUCAGAAGCGUGGGACUAAAAUAUUACAAGAAAUAGCUUCGAACAAUUCACAGAAGCUAGCAUGGUGAAAAAUAAUCUUGAACCCAACAGACUACUUUUGGUCGGGAACCCCAAUAAGUUGGAACUUUGUUCAAGAUUUAUCAACCUAUAUUUGUAUAUGAAUAGUUGAAUAGUGUAUAUCCCAAGAACUGAUUCUCUUUUUCCUAUUUGUAUAGGCAAAGACAUAAACUAGCACCCAAGAGAACUUGCCUAUGAUCCUCUCUCUCAAAAAAAUGUGGACCUAACAAGGAAGGAACAAGACAAAAAGAGUGAGAACGAUUUUUUUUAUUAUAUCUUGUAACUAUAUAGAGAAUGGGAGGUGUCUCGUAAGUCAAGUAGUAAUGACAAAACCCCUUCAUAAAUUGUCUACCCACUGGGCACUACACUACAAGAACCUUUGGUUGCUCCCAUUGUUUUCACCUAUAAAUUACAAAUAUGACUAUGCCUAAGGUUCUUAAGAAACCUAAUAUAACGAAGGUUUAAGUUAGUGGCUUCUAAAAGCUUAGACUAUGCAUUCUCUAAUAUUGAUUAUAGACUAAACAUUGACAAUGUCGGUACAGUUUUACGCGUUGGCUUUAGAUAUUAUAAGGACUUGAUCUGAGGUUUAGUUAAAAUAAGGUGCAAGACAUAAGACAUGAUUCUUAAAAGGUACUAGCUUAAGACCCGCGCAAUUGCACGAGGUGAAUGUUAUAUAUAAAACUAAUUUUUAUCUAUUAUUAUUUAUUUAUAUUCAUUUACGUAUUAUGUAUAUAAUUAAAUUAGAGUAAGAACAUAAAUCAAAACAAUACAUCUUGUUUAUUUACGAUACUUUUUUGGUAAAUAAAUCAAAACAAUCAUUUUAUUUAUUUUCUAUGGUAUAUAACUAAAUUUCAGUAACAUGGACAUAGAUAUAUAGUAUAUUUUAAUAUAAAUAUUUAUUAUUGAAAAUUCAUACUCAUAUGAUAAACACAAAAUUUCUAAUGUGCGAUUUUUUAAUGCAAAUUUUAAAAUUUAAAUAUUAAGGUUUCAAUACUUUUUCAAUAUAAAUUUAGAAAUUAUCAUAUUUAAGUAUUAUUCUAUGUUAUAUAGUUUAAUUUUAAACUAUAUUAUUAUAUAAUAUGAAUGUCUAGCAAAUGAGACUUCAUAUUCAUACGAUUUAUGAUCAUUUGUAUCUUGUUAUUACCAAAACAAAGUUAAACCAUUGAUCACAAAAUUUUAGUGUGAGACAUUUAACGUUUUUAAUAAUUUAUAGUCGUUUUAGAAAUUCAAAAUAUAACAUAUAUUUUUUUAUUAUUAUUAUAUGGUUAAUGUUGUUGUUUAAUAUUUUUUAAUAAUAUAAAAUUAAACAAAAAAGAGCUAAGAUACAAAAUUUAUUAUCAAAUAUUUAUUAUUCAUAAUCAUUAAUUAUCAUAUAUACAUUAAUCAUAUUAAGCAACUCCGUAGCUUUUAUUUAAGGAAAGUGCGAGAAUAUUAUUUUGUACACUAUUUAUAAAUUUAAUAGUUAGUUUAAUAAAAAAAUAUAAUAUAAGUUAAGAUAAACCAACCUAUUUUUCUAUGAAUUCUGAAAUUCAUUCUCAUGGUCACACGUGACUACAAAAUAAUGUUGUAAUGUUUCACAAUUAAUAUAUAAAAAAGAUUAUUGGCAUGCUUCACGAAGCUAAUUUUUGACCAAAUAUGCAAAUAUAAACUAUGGAAAUUUCUUAGGAACAUACUAGUAAUGAAAAUCAUUGGAGAUCGUACUAUCGUUAUUCGUUACUGAUUCUUUUGCAAAAAUAAACAUAUAAGAAAUGAUUAUGCUAGUUUAUGUUGCUGAGUGCUACAGUUUAUGGGUCUGACCGGUGACCAUUCAUAAAACAAGAGGAACAACAGAAAAAGAAUAUACCGGAAAAAAAUAGCAAGAAUGAAAGUGAAUGGUUAUUGCUUCUCAAAUUUAAUAAGGAAUAAUUUUAUUUUUUAAUUUUCUACAAAAAAAAAGAACGAAAAAGAAUGAGAUAGAAUUAUUAUUCCUUGUGAAUGGUGAUUUUUUAUAGGAACGUUAGAGAAUGCAUUAUUUCCCAUCAUUUCUUGGUCACCUUUCGUAAAAUAGUGUUGUUUUUCUAAUUAAGCAUUUUCAUGUUUUUGUUUUUCUAAACAUUUUCAUGUUGUUUGUUUUUCUAUACAUUUUCAUGUUACGGUAUAUAUAGGCUGAGCAUGUCCAAGCUAUUCAAAAUUAACCGAAUCGUGGAACAGAUCCAGUAACUAGCUAAUUCAUAGUUCUAUUAAAAUUGAGGUUAAGUAUAUAAAAGAAAAAAAAAACAAAGAAAUGAAUAGUAACAAAACUAGAGAGAGAACAGAAAGGAAUAGAGAUUUUGCCGAAACUUUUCUAAGUACAGUGUCUGAGUAUUUUUUUGGUAAUCAUGUUAAAUCAGUGUCUGAGUUCUUCAAACCUUCUCAGACUUGUCGUUUGUAAUUAAUCAUUAUCUGGCCGAUUAAAAAUGAUUAACGUAUUUGAUUUCGUGUUUUCCGAAUGCUUUCACACUAACCAAUUACAUUUUCACAAAAUUUACAAAUAGGUUCGUAGAGCAUGCAGCCAUGUGAUGAGCACAAAAGUGAACAAUUCUUUAGCAGUUUACUUAUAUCAACGUAAAUAGCGAAUGUUAUUCCUAAAUUUCCCUGAAAAGAUAAGAAUCUACGACUACAAAGAUACGCCAAUUUAGGAAAGUAUGACAAACCCUUUAAUUUCGUUUUGGAACUAAGUGACCUUAUACCUGCUUAAUAAAAUCUAAUAUUCCAAUCAUCUAAUCACAGUUUGGUGCUUACACUAUUAAAAAUAAACAAAUAUCGGCGAAUACUUUUUCUAUAAAAGGGUGCACACUAUCAUAUACCUACUUACUAAGUCGUUUACACAACCCAAACCCUCAUUCUAAGAGAUGGGGUCUCACACACAAAACCUCUCUUUUCUUAUCCUCCUUCUCCUAGGCUUCCUUGCUGUCUCAUUCGCUUGCGAAUGUAGCCCUCCUAAACCAUCUCCGAGACCCCACAAACCGCCUAAACAUCCCGUCAAACCGCCUAAACCACCAGCAGCCAAACCACCAAAACCACCGGCAGUAAAACCUCCUAAACCCCCCACCAAACCUCCCACCCUUAAACCACACCCCCACCCUAAACCUCCCACCGUUAGACCACAUCCACACCCUAAGCCCCCUACCAAACCUCAUCCCAUCCCAAAACCGCCCACCGUUAAACCACCACCCUCCACACCCAAACCGCCCACAAAACCACCCACCGUUAAACCACCUCCAUCCACCCCUAAGCCGCCCACCAAACCACCCACCGUCAAACCACCACCCUCCACCCCAAAACCGCCCACCAAGCCACCCACCGUCAAACCACCUCCGUCCACCCCUAAACCACCUACCCACAAGCCACCAACAGUGUGCCCACCGCCAACACCAACACCAACCCCACCUGUUGUAACGCCACCAACACCACCAACACCAACUCCACCAGUCGUUACGCCACCAACACCAGCCCCACCUGUUGUAACGCCACCAACACCAACACCACCGGUCGUAACGCCACCGACACCAACCCCUCCUGUCGUAACACCUCCAACACCACCGGUCGUAACGCCACCGACACCAACUCCUCCUGUCGUAACACCACCAACACCACCGGUCGUAACGCCACCGACACCAACCCCUCCUGUCGUAACACCUCCAACACCACCGGUCGUAACGCCACCGACACCAACCCCUCCUGUCGUAACACCACCAACACCAACUCCACCUAAGCCAGAAACGUGCCCAAUCGACACGUUGAAGCUAGGCGCUUGUGUAGACGUUCUUGGAGGUUUAAUUCACAUCGGGCUUGGUGGAAGUAGCGCCAAGAAAGAGUGUUGUCCGGUUUUGGGAGGCUUAGUUGA